Molecule: microRNA precursor, 59 nt
Organism: Ciona intestinalis (vase tunicate)
Lineage: Eukaryota; Metazoa; Chordata; Ascidiacea; Phlebobranchia; Cionidae
Source: Ensembl
GUGGUUAGCGCGCCUGCUUGUAACCCAGAGGUAAUGGGUUCAAGGCUCGACGCUGCUAC